This is a long non-coding RNA of Nicrophorus vespilloides, 834 nucleotides long. RefSeq lists it as uncharacterized. NCBI's taxonomy places the organism in Eukaryota, Metazoa, Arthropoda, Insecta, Coleoptera, Silphidae. The record is from RefSeq and is a predicted model, not a curated record. The transcript is spliced from 2 exons.
ACUGAAAAUAAUAUUCAAGUCUAUCGAGAAUAUAUUAAAUAUAUAAUGAUAAUUACAUAAAAUGCAAGGAACUGAAUAAAUUGCGACAUAUUUUUACAAUGAGUUAUUUAAUUGAUAUAAGGAUUUAGUAUAAGCUACGUUAAACCUGAAAUGGAUUACAUCAAGGAUGUUUCGAGAUAUCAAGGAAUUAUAUAACAAGUAAACGCAGCUUGUUACAUAAUUAAGCAAAGAUGACAUCGAUGCACAGAGAAUCGUGAUGGAUUAUAAACUAACUCAAGGAAUACACAUGGAAAAUAUAUAUUGAGAACGUCCAUGAUUGUCCUACCUCAACUCCAGAUGAUUGACUAAUCAAAUUCAGAGUUAAUACUUAUACAAUCAUAAAAUAUAUGUCAAUAUACUCGAAGGAUUAUAAGCUGGAUGAUUUUACCAUAGCAGAUGUCUCGUGUAUUAUUGAUAUCAAGUUUUAGGACAAAGCAAUUAUGUGCUCGUCAGCACCAUCUCCCACCCAAAAUGCACCCCCUUGUCGAGCCUUGUUCUCGGAAUUAAAAACAAUAAGCUACUAGUAAAUAGAUAGAUUUAUACCUGUCAAUAUAAUUGAGAUAUUACGAGCUGGAUGACAUUAAUAUAGCAGAUAUUUCGUGUAUUAUUGAUAUCAAAGUCCAGAAAUUUGUUAACUGACUUAUAACCAGAUGAUGAUCCUAAACUAUAGUUAUGGAAUCAACAAAUUUGUACUUUCCUCUCUAAACAUCUGUAAAUGAUUAACUCUGAUUUAUUAUGUCAUAUAUCUAAGAAAUUGCUAAUUCUCUAUAAUAAAAAGAAAAAUGUACCACGAAA